CCUACGGGAGGCAGCAGUGGGGAAUCUUGCGCAAUGGGCGGAAGCCUGACGCAGCAACGCCGCGUGCGGGAAGAAGGCCUUAGGGUCGUAAACCGCUUUCAGGGGGGACGAAGCUUCCGGGGUUAAUAGCCUACGGGGUGACGGUACUCCCAAAAGAAGGUCCGGCUAACUACGUGCCAGCAGCCGCGGUAAUACGUAGGGACCGAGCGUUGUCCGGAAUCAUUGGGCGUAAAGAGCGUGUAGGCGGCUUGGUAGGUCUCGUGUGAAAUCCCGCGGCUCAACCGCGGAUCCGCACGGGAAACCCCUAAGCUCGAGUCCGGAAGAGGAGAGUGGAAUUCCUGGUGUAGCGGUGAAAUGCGCAGAUAUCAGGAAGAACACCCGUAGCGAAGGCGGCUCUCUGGGACGGUACUGACGCUGAGACGCGAAAGCGUGGGGAGCAAACAGGAUUAGAUACCCUGGUAGUCCACGCCGUAAACGAUGGGCGCUAGGUGUGGGAGGUGUCGACUCCUCCCGUGCCGAAGCUAACGCAUUAAGCGCCCCGCCUGGGGAGUACGGCCGCAAGGCUAAAACUCAAAGGAAUUGACGG
RNAcentral lists this ribosomal RNA (586 nucleotides) under uncultured bacterium. RNAcentral describes it as "bacterial SSU rRNA". It matches the Rfam family "Bacterial small subunit ribosomal RNA", at positions 338 to 916 of the family's 1533-position model. The record is from RNAcentral.